Molecule: non-coding RNA, 96 nt
Organism: Mycena latifolia
Lineage: Eukaryota; Fungi; Basidiomycota; Agaricomycetes; Agaricales; Mycenaceae
Source: the annotation of a GenBank genome assembly
GGCCCGAUAGCACAACUGGUUAAUGCAUCUCUGAAAAUUGCCAAUUGGUGAAGUUUCUUUGUGGAGAAGAUCUCGGUUCAAACCCGGGUCGGGCCA